Molecule: transfer RNA, 92 nt
Filed under: Sinorhizobium numidicum
Lineage: Bacteria; Pseudomonadati; Pseudomonadota; Alphaproteobacteria; Hyphomicrobiales; Rhizobiaceae
Description: tRNA-Ser
Rfam family: tRNA
About the family: Transfer RNA (tRNA) molecules are approximately 80 nucleotides in length.
Source: RNAcentral
GGAUGGGUGGCCGAGUGGUCGAAGGCGCCCGCCCGGAAAGUGGGUAGGCGGCGAAGGCCGCCUCGCAGGUUCGACUCCUGCCCUGUCCGCCA